CGUACACUCCUGCGGGAGGCAGCAGUGAGGAAUAUUGGACAAUGGGUGGAAGCCUGAUCCAGCCAUCCCGCGUGCAGGAAGACGGCCCUAUGGGUUGUAAACUGCUUUUAUCUGGGGAUAAACCUACUUACGUGUAAGUAGCUGAAGGUACCAGAAGAAUAAGCACCGGCUAACUCCGUGCCAGCAGCCGCGGUAAUACGGAGGGUGCAAGCGUUAUCCGGAUUUAUUGGGUUUAAAGGGUCCGUAGGCGGACUGAUAAGUCAGUGGUGAAAUCCGACAGCUUAACUGUCGAACUGCCAUUGAUACUGUUAGUCUUGAGUAAGGUUGAAGUGGCUGGAAUAAGUAGUGUAGCGGUGAAAUGCAUAGAUAUUACUUAGAACACCAAUUGCGAAGGCAGGUCACUAAGUCUUAACUGACGCUGAUGGACGAAAGCGUGGGGAGCGAACAGGAUUAGAAACCCCAGUAGUCCCA
Molecule: ribosomal RNA, 471 nt
Filed under: uncultured organism
Description: partial 16S ribosomal RNA
Rfam family: Bacterial small subunit ribosomal RNA
Source: RNAcentral